CCUCUAAGCUACCAUUUUGUAAAUCAAGCUGCUUUUGCAGGUGGCUAUGCUCUGCCAUGAUCUUGCUGGAAUCUUGUCUGCUGUUUUGGAAUAUGG
Long non-coding RNA from Hyaena hyaena (striped hyena), 96 nucleotides. RefSeq lists it as uncharacterized. Lineage: Eukaryota; Metazoa; Chordata; Mammalia; Carnivora; Hyaenidae. The record is from RefSeq and is a predicted model, not a curated record. The transcript has 3 exons.